UUUAUUUAAAGUCUGGUCUGCUCACUGAUAAAUUAAAGAGCCGCAGUAUUUUGACUGUGCGAAGGUAGCAUAAUAAUUAGUUUCUUGAUUGGGAACUGGUAUGAAUGGUUGGACGAGAAAAGUUCUGUCUCUUUCUAAUUUUAUUGAAUUUUACUUUUAAGUUAAAAGGCUUAAAUUUUGUUAAAAGACGAGAAGACCCUAUAGAGUUUUAUUAUUUAAUUUUUAUUGAGUUUUGGUAAUAUAAUUCUUAAGAUGUAAAAUAAUUUGGUUGGGGUGAUUGGAAAAUUUAUUUAACUUUUCUUUUAUUUUUACAUUUAUUUAUGAUUGAUUGAUCCGUUAUUUACGAUUAUAAGAUUAAAUUACCUUAGGGAUAACCAGCGUAAUUUUA
RNAcentral lists this ribosomal RNA (388 nucleotides) under Trogoderma simplex. RNAcentral's name for it is "partial 16S ribosomal RNA". Lineage: Eukaryota; Metazoa; Arthropoda; Insecta; Coleoptera; Dermestidae. The record is from RNAcentral.